RNAcentral lists this long non-coding RNA (656 nucleotides) under Zostera marina. RNAcentral's name for it is "long non-coding RNA (ZMAR_LNC001276)". The record is from RNAcentral. Lineage: Eukaryota; Viridiplantae; Streptophyta; Magnoliopsida; Alismatales; Zosteraceae.
AGUAAUCGAUUUAAUUAUGAAUUUGGUUCCCAUUUAAUUUAUUGAUUGAUUGAUUUGAUCAUGAAUUUGGUAAAUAAUCGAUUUUUCCUUGAAAUUGUAAAUGAUAAUAUACUUCGAUUCGAGAUAGUUCUUGAAUUUGGAGUAUCUGGUUUAAAAAAUUUAAAAAAAUGACUUUCCGAUCAAAUAUGAUUCUACUAUUAGUGAGUGGAUACAUUUAUUUCCCAGGAUCAACUAAAUAAUCGAGAUCAUCAGAUAAAGCGAUAAUCCUAAGUUCUCCGCGCUUCCACCAAUUUCCCCGUCUACAAUCUCGAUAUCUGCCCCCAAGUGCGGGCAGGUGCGAGAUCAAUGGAGGAAAAAAGGGGACUAGAAUGAAGCUCAGAUCCGAAAUCUGACUUCCGGAUCAACCAACCCAACCGUUUCUGGAAUUCUGGCAAAAGAAGCAAAGUUGAGACUUUCUUUCUUUUGUACAUUCAUAUUUAUCUUCACCUAAUAAAUGAUCACCAUUAGCAAAUAUUAGCAACAUGCAGGGCCGAGAUCACGGAUGCACUUCUUUUUUUCUAACGGUGGCCGGUGGCGGUUGGUAUCUCACUAUCUUGUAGUGAUAUAUCAGGAUGCAUCUAUUUCGUGAUCUGAUUUUGAAACUAAUUUUCCAAUAU